RNAcentral lists this long non-coding RNA (6879 nucleotides) under Homo sapiens (human). RNAcentral's name for it is "HSALNT0315878". The stretch from base 4473 to 4518 matches the Rfam family "Histone 3' UTR stem-loop". Lineage: Eukaryota; Metazoa; Chordata; Mammalia; Primates; Hominidae. The record is from RNAcentral.
GGCAACCCUCUGGGGUCCCCUUGCACGCUGUGGAAGCUUUAUUGUUUCACUCUUUGCAAUAAAUCUUGCUGCUGCUCACUCUUUGGGUCCACACUGCCUUUAUGAGCUGUAACACUCACGAUGAAGUUCUGCAGCUUCACUCCUGAAGCCAGCGACACCACAAACCCACCAGGAGGAAGGAACAACUCCAGAUGCACCUCCUUAAGAGCUGUGACACUCACCGCGAAGGUCCGCAGCUUCACUCCUGAGCCGGCGAGACCACGAACCCCACCAGAAGGAAGAAACUCUGAACACCUCCGAACAUCAGAAGGAACAAACUCUGGACACGCUGCCUUUAGGAACUGUAACACUCACCGCGAGGGUCCCCGGCUUCAUUCUUGAAGUCAGUGAGACCAAAAUCCCACCAAUUCUGGACACACUAGGAAGACUGAGACCCAAUUGGACCAUCAAAGAACGACCCAAUCACCAGCACAAAGCUAAUAAACUUGUAAGCUUUCAAUACAAAUAACGUUGGAACAUAGCUAGGAAGACUUCAGGAGACAGAUUCUCUUUGCAGAGUCUCUGGGAGACAGAUCUCACUGUGUCGCCCAGGUUGUAAUACAGUGGGACCAUUUCGGCUCACUGCACCCUCCGCCUCCCAGAUUCAAGUGAUUCUUGUGCCUCAGCCUCCCAGCCUUUCUCUCUACCAUGUGGAUGCCUGCAGAAGCCUGCACAGUCAUUCUGCCACAUGCACUGUGGAUACACAGCUGAUUUACAGCUGGGCUGAAAAAGCCUCAUCUCUGUUUCUGGGGAUUCCAGGAUAUCCUGUUUUUGACUCUUAGCUAAGUUCUAUCCCAAGCAGCCAUAAUGUGUAAGGCAACGGGACAACAGACAGCAUCCAGCAGGGAUUCCUAAGAAAAGACAAAGCUGAAAUGGGAGUCUGAAUGACUUUUCUAGAUCUACUUAUUUAAAACUUAGGAGAUCAUAACAUAUUAAGACGGAAAAAGUGAUGCUCACGCCAGAGAAGAGUCAGCCCAAGGUCAUCUAGGAUCAGUGGCACACCUAGGAUUCAGGCCCAAGGACCCCCAGCUGACCUGCCUUCCCUGGAACCUCACUGUGAGUUCUUUAACCAUGGCUGUGUUUUCAAAGUUGAACUGGGGCUGCUGUUGAUACCACCUUUAAAUGCCUGCUUUUGUCAUGGAGACCAUGAGAACUUCACUCUUCAGCUGGCAAUUUACCUGGCUGCACAGUGCUCAGGCACACACAGGCUUCAGGGCUACAAGGUAAAGGAUUUGCCAAGGCCAAGUGCUGAAACCCACUUCUUGUUUUGAAGCAAAUGAGAACUUCCACCUGUAUUUGACCUGGGUAUGUAUAUUAAUUAGUUUGGCAACUGAGAUUUUUUUCUUGAUGAUCAAAAGUCCUAACUGGCAGUUAAAUAUGUCUUUUUUUUUUUUUUUUUUGAGACAGAGUUUCCCUCUUGUCACUCAGACUGGAGUGCAAUGGCACAAUCGAGGCUCACUGCAACCUCUUUCUCCCCAGUUCAAGCAAUUCUCCUGUUUCAGCCUCCCAAGUAGCUGGGAUCACAGGUGUCUGCCACCACACCUGGCUAAUUUUGUAUUUUUUAGUAGAGACAGGUUUUCACCAUGUUGGCUAGAUUGGUCCUGAACUCCUGACCUCAGGUAAUCCACCCGCCUCGGCCUCCCAAAGUUCUGGGAUUACAGGUGUGAGCCGCUGCCCCUGGUCAAAUAUGUCUUUUUAAAAAAAUAAUAAUAAUGACUUUUAAAUACAAGUGACCUGAGUAUGCAAAGUAUUUCUAGACUCAGGGUUCUUAAAGUGAGGAAAAAUUAGCAAAAGCAUUAUUUGACAGCCCCUAGAAUAGGCCAAAUAUGAAAUAACUAACAAAUUGCAGAUAGUAGUGUGCUCUACAAAGAAAAAGAGAGCAAGACAAUGGAUUACAGAAAAGAUGAAGUUUAUUUUAGAUGGAGUAUUAAGUGACAGAUUCUAUGAGGAGGUGAAAAUUGACCAGACAACUGAAAGAAGUAAAACAGCCAUACUAGUAUCUCAGGAAAAAUUAUCGCAGGAAAAAAAGAGGAAAAAUAAAAUGACUCUAUGUCGGAGGGAGUUUGGGCUGGCAUGGUGGCUCAUGCCUUUAAUCCCAGCACUUUGGGAGGGCGAGGUGGGUGGAUCACUUGAGGUCAGGAGUUCGAGACCAGCCUGCUGAACAUAGUGAAACCCGUCUCUACUAAAAAUACAAAAAUUAGCCUGGUGUGGUGGUGGGUGCCUGCAAUCUCAGCUACUCAGGAGGCUGAAGCAGGAGAAUUGCUGGAACCUGGGAGGUGGAGGUUGCAGUGAGCCUAGAUCAUGCCACUGCACUCCAGCCUGGGUGACAGAGUGAGACUCCACAAAAAAAAAAAAAAAAGGGGGGGGUGGGUGGGGAGGAGGGUUUGGCAUGUUUAAUGGAAAAGGUCUGUGUGUGACCAGAAUAGAUGGAAUGCAGAGAAGCAAAAUAUAGAUUUUAAUUUCCAUGGUUCUUUACUGAAGAGUGUUUCUUAUUUAAGUAACAACGCUAUGAUUAAAUUGAUUGUGAAAGAAUUACAAAUCUAGAAUUUAUUGCAUGAUCAGAUAGGAGAACAGAUUUGAUUUGCUAACUCUGUAUAAUAUACUACAGUGUAAGCCACCCUCUAUUACUUUAGCAAAAGAUGUUUUUUUCAUUUUCCUGCAAGUAUAUUUUUUCUCUAAAACCUUAAUUAGCAUUUUUUAAUAUUGCUGAAAGAUGGGGAUAUAAGUUCCAUUUAUUUCUUGAAACUGAAUAUAAUUAUCAAAUAUUGAAAAAUAAUAAUGGGCAUCAUUAUAAUUACUGUUAAGUAGUUUUCCUGUGUAGAGAGAAUUAUAAAAAUAUCCUUCAUUAUCUUUCAUGGAUAAAUGAUGUUUUUCUCAUGAGCCAGAGAAAAAUUAUCACAAUGUCUGCCCAGGUGUUUCUGUUAUGCUUACAGAAGUGAGUAGUGCUAUUUGCAGACACUGUACUUUCUCUCUUUUUCAUAUGAGUACAUUAAUCAAUUGUGGAGUUGUGGCAUCUGCUGUAAAACAAUUUGUUUUUCCAUUAUUUGAUGGCUACACUUUUUCUUUUAGUUUUUUUCUCUUCUUAUUGAAUCACAUUUUCUUUCCUCUUCUUUUAAAAAUAUUGCUGUAUUGAUUUACAAAAAAUAUAUAUUUUAUUGCCUCAUUUUAAUUUUUGGUAAUCCAUGUACUGCUUUAUUAAGGCCUAUAUAACUCAUAAUCCAACUCAUCGAUUAAAAGUUCAGGAAACCAAAGAGAUGGCUUUUUCUCCAAUUGAAGAUAUCAUAAUGAUAAUUUUGGGGGCUGGUGAAAACUGAGAUUGUCAGAAGGCUAAUUUUUUCUUAGAUGUCAUUUUUGUUGGUCACAAACUAGAGAUGAAGCUCUCUACAGGCAAGUAUAGAACCAUCUCUCUGUGCAACAAUUUGUAUUUUCAGACCACUUUUAGUCUUUGGGGGUAGAUACAAUUACUUAGAAAAAUCUUCAAUGUCUCUUUGGAAAACAGUUGAUCUCGAACUCAGUUCUAAAGCUGAGUCAGCAUCACAGGAUUUCAGAUUCUUGAAUGUUAUUUUUGUUGUCUUUCUCUUACUAAAUUGUUAUCACUGAAUAUUUCUCCUUUGUUUUACUCCAUUUGGACUGCUAUAACAAAAUACCAUAGACUGAGUAGCUUAUAAUACAGAAUUCACAUCUCACAGUUCUGAGGCUGGGAAGUUCAGCAUCAAGGUGCCAGCAGGUUCAGUGUCUUGUGAGGGCCUGUUUUCGGUUUCAUGGAGGGCCCCUUCUCACUGCAUCUUUACGUGGUACAAGUGGCAAGUCAGCUCUCUGGGGCCUCUUUUAUAAGAACACUUAUAGGAAUAUUGAAUUAGUGAACGAGCUCUGUUCUCGUGAAUUAAUCAUCUCCCAAAAGGCCCUAUCUCCUAACCCAUUUAUGCUGGAGGUUGCAAUUUUUGUGUGUGAAAAAUCAGACCUUGGCAAUGACCUUGAGCAGUAGGAUAUAAAUAACUCCCACAAGCUUAGCAUUCCAAUAAGGGAACACUAGGCAUAAAUGGGCUUAAUACCCUCAUCUUAGGGGAAAGGAUUUCAAUAUGUGAAUUUUGUGAAACACAAACAUUCAGACGGCAGCAUCUUUGCUUUCUUAAAAAGUUAAAUGAAACAAGUUCCCAAAUUUAAACAAGCAGAAAUAUGUAUACAGAUAAGGGUAGAGGAAUAGUUUAAAAUUAUUUUAAUUAGAUAUUUGAAGUCCUCAGUACGCUACAUUUAUAAAAAAGAAAUGGUAUAUGUGACAGGGAGCAAAAUAAAACCCUGUGUCAUAAAAAGAAUCCACUAUCAAUUAUUUAAAAAGAUCUUAGCAAGGAAAUAUCAGCUUCGAUAUUACAAACUUUUCAGAUGUGAAAAAUGAUUUAUUUUCAAAUAUAGUUCAAAUGAAGUUUUGCCUUAACAAAAUGGCUUUUCUAAAGGCCACCUUUAGAUCAAAAUACUUAAUCUAACUUGUGCCACUUCUUGGUAACCCUUGGUAACCCCUAAAUUGUUUUCUCUAUUUUCUCCAACUACUCUACUAAAAAGUUUCUUCCUAUUUCUCCACAUGGCUUCAAAAAAGGGAACAUAAAAGAGAAAUACCAGUCAGUGAUAAUCAUGUGGAAAAAAAUAAUAAUGUGAAGCAAUUUUUGUUUGUUUGUUUGUUUGUUUGUUUUCUCUCGAGGUCAUGAUCUGGUACUUUUUUACAGCAAACUCAUACUUAACAAAUUUUAAAGAUUUUUUAAAGAAUGAACUAAUGAAUUGGGUUAGGUAAGUUUAUCUUAACCAUUCUUAUGUCCUUUAAUUUUCUGCACUUUGCUAGUAUUUUACUUUUAGAAUCCGUAGUCAGCUUGAAUCAUAUUAAUUUUCUGACAACUGAAUAAAAAAUAUUUCAAUAUUUCAUGCAUCUUGUUUAUUUGUUUGUUUUGGUAGUUUUUUUUAAGAAAGUGAAAGUAGUUUAAUUUAGAGAGAAGCCAUGGAAACCGGGAAACAAAAAUGAGAUUGUGAUUGGGAAGGAAGGGAUCGUCAUCAAUAAAAUUGCUUUACUAAGCAAGUUAUUGCUGGAGGUGACAAAACUUUGAUCCCACUAGAGCCUUUAAAAGCCAGUAUCGAACACACUGUUCAGUAAUGCCACUCAAAUGAGCAGUGCAUUUAUUUAUUCAUUCUUUAUCAGUCAUUUGGUUGGUAGUAUGUUAUUAAUUCCACAGUAAUUCUGACUUGCCACUUGCAUGGACAAAUUGGGUUCCAGCUGCCAGAAAAAUCCUUCAGGCAAAGGAUGCAGCUGCCACCAGUUGGAAUUCUAGGGGAUACUUGGUCUUUAUAAUUUCUGAGUACAUAAGCAUCUACUAUAUGUGCUUAAUACAAAUGAAUGCCAUUUUAAUGUACCUUAAAAUUUCUAAGCAAAUACAUGAAAAGCAAUGUCUAAUUUCUUGCUUAUUUUCAAGGUAUACAGAUAACUCUGUUAUAUUCAGAAAGAGCAGGGACCUGAAAAAAAAAAUCUGUGUUAAAGUCUCAUAUGAACUAAAAAGAAAAAGUAAUUUAUUCUUCUGCUACUUCUCUUUUCAGUAAGGGUGGUUGCCUUGUCUUGCUCAUUGCAAGAAUGAAAGCUGUAUAAGUUGAAUGAAAAUAUAAAUAUGACUUUGAAGCUCCUUUGUAAUGGUGGGGUUUCCCAGAAGUCAAGUUUCCUCAGUGGUGACAUAAAUCUACUGUGUGAGAAGCAUCUACCUGGACCAACCUACAAAUCAGCCCCCUGGGGAAGUGCUUCCUGCUGUGAGAAAUAAAUCCAGGAAUUCUGGGUCUUCUGUCUGCAUCUAUGAACCUGUGCAGGCUAAUUUCUUAGUUUCCAAGUAGAGUAAAAUCUCAGAACCCACAGUUUCUGAUAAUACAUACCCAUAUAUUUUCUAAAUUUUUCUGUUGAGAUGACCUACAACGAAGGAAAUAAAAUAAUCCUGAUCGUGCCUAGCAUAUAGAUUGUGAUGUUUACAUACUCUUCCACAUUCAAAGGAAGCAUGGCUUCUUUAAGAAAAUGCUGCAUCUAGUGCUGGUAUCCUGACAGAUAUUAGAGAGGAAAAAUCUUCCUAAUGCACAGAGAAAUUAAGGAAGUGCUAAAAAAUGAUGGUAGCAACCUUAACAAAGUGAUUAUAUUUUAACAUUACUAAUUUGAGAGCCAGUCAAUAUCACUUGUCUCCCAAUACCUGUAUACGACACUGAGAAGGACACAUCACUUUAGUAGAAUUCCUGCCUAAAUUAUAUCACCUAAAUGUAAUCAUGUGAAAAUAUCAAUACAAGACAUCCUGCGAUAUAAAAGGCCUGUGCGUUAAGAAAAAUAAAGGUCACAGAAAAAAGAAACUCUGAGGAAUCAGUCUAGACAGAAUGAGCCUGUAUCAUAAUUACCCAUUAUAGACUGGGUAUUGAUGGCCUGCCAAGUCAUAAUGUCUACUGAGCCCAGCAUCAGAUGGAAAUGGUACAACUUAGAUUAAGCAUGAAUAGGACCGGAGGAGGCACGUAAGCUACAUGAGCUGGUAGCCAAGACUGCCAUGCAUUUGUAUCAUUAUCCUCCCAGGGCUUGGACUUAUUGCCACAUUGGGUGGUCCAUCUGAGUAGCUGAAGAUGGAUGUAAAGCCCCAGCUAGGUUUAUGGGUGGGUUGGCCUAAUAUGGAUGAGCAAGCUGAAAAAGUAUAGCAGCAGCCUCACAACCAUAUUCUAGUAUGGCCCUGAGUGAUAUUAGAGGAGGGAAAUCUUCCUAACAGGCAGAGCUGAGAGCAGUGCACCUGGUCACCUACUUUGUACGUAAGAAGACGUGGCCUGAGGUGAGAAAAUAUAUAUAUAUAU